GAAAGGUUUAAGAGCCUACUCUGGCUCUGAACCGCGAAUAAACUCUCAGUCCUCUCGCCAGGCCCCGUGCGGGUUCCGCGGGAAGUCCCCUCGCUGCUGCCGGACAGGGCCCUAGUGAAUGCAUCGUUCCUGAGCUCAAGAACGUUGAGGUGGGCCAACGGUGGCCGGAGGAGAGAAGACUGGCUGCUCUGGUGGCUGAGCUGGUGGAGUGGCUGCGUUGGAAGAGUCUGCA
Long non-coding RNA from Cervus elaphus (red deer), 232 nucleotides. RefSeq lists it as uncharacterized. NCBI's taxonomy places the organism in Eukaryota, Metazoa, Chordata, Mammalia, Artiodactyla, Cervidae. The transcript has 3 exons. The record is from RefSeq and is a predicted model, not a curated record.